Molecule: ribosomal RNA, 509 nt
Filed under: Ophiothela danae
Lineage: Eukaryota; Metazoa; Echinodermata; Ophiuroidea; Amphilepidida; Ophiotrichidae
Description: partial 16S ribosomal RNA
Rfam family: Bacterial large subunit ribosomal RNA
Source: RNAcentral
CCAAAAACAUGGCCUUUGGAGUAGGAUCAAAAGGUCGUGCCUGCCCGGUGACGUAAGUUAAACGGCUGCAGUACUCUGACUGUGCAAAGGUAGCAAAAUCAAUUGUCCAUUAAUUGUGGACCGGAAUCAAUGGUUUGACGAUAAAAAAACUGUCUUUCUUUACUGGCUUUUAAAUUAUCUUAAGAGUGAAGAGACUCUUUUGUUAUAGCGGGACGAGAAGACCCCGUUGAGCUUUAACGAGUAUUAUUAGUUUUAUAAUUACUGGUUUUAGUUGGGGCAACUAUUUCUCUUUAUUAAACAGAAAUAAAACUAUCUCGAAUUGAAUCAAUUAUGACCCCUAAUUAUUAGGAGUAAUAAAAUAAGUUACCACGGGGAUAACAGCGUAAUUUUUUUUGAGAGUUCUUAUUGACAAAAAAGUUUGCGACCUCGAUGUUGGAUCAUAGUCUCCUAGGGGUGCAGCAGCUCCUAAGGGUUGGUUUGUUCAACCAUUAAAACUAUACGUGAUCUGA